Molecule: long non-coding RNA, 313 nt
Filed under: Helianthus annuus (common sunflower)
Lineage: Eukaryota; Viridiplantae; Streptophyta; Magnoliopsida; Asterales; Asteraceae
Description: hypothetical non coding rna
Source: RNAcentral
GUUGGCGACAUCUGUUAUUCUCAUUAGCGGUUUCUAAAGGAUUGUCAACCAUCAAUCCAAUAGAAGUUCUGAACAUUCUUAAAAAAUAGGUAUUUUGAAAAAAAUUGACAAAAAAUCUUUAAAAGUCUGUUGAAAACAACUGUUUUUAAAACAGCUGUUUGGCAAAAGAUUCAUCCACUGUUUAAAGGUAUUGUCUCAUCUCAUAAAAUGCUGUUUUUUGUAACGACUAUUGAGUUGCUACUGGUGCGAACAUUUGUUAUUCACAACAGCAGUUUCCAAAGAAUUGUCAAUGAUUAACUUUAUAGAAUGCUGA